Molecule: ribosomal RNA, 393 nt
Filed under: Caulobacter sp.
Lineage: Bacteria; Pseudomonadati; Pseudomonadota; Alphaproteobacteria; Caulobacterales; Caulobacteraceae
Description: bacterial SSU rRNA
Rfam family: Bacterial small subunit ribosomal RNA
Source: RNAcentral
AAGGGAAACUUGAGCUAAUACCGGAUGUGCCCUUCGGGGGAAAGAUUUAUCGCCAUUGGAGCGGCCCGCGUCUGAUUAGCUAGUUGGUGGGGUAAAGGCCCACCAAGGCGACGAUCAGUAGCUGGUCUGAGAGGAUGAUCAGCCACAUUGGGACUGAGACACGGCCCAAACUCCUACGGGAGGCAGCAGUGGGGAAUCUUGCGCAAUGGGCGAAAGCCUGACGCAGCCAUGCCGCGUGAAUGAUGAAGGUCUUAGGAUUGUAAAAUUCUUUCACCGGGGACGAUAAUGACGGUACCCGGAGAAGAAGCCCCGGCUAACUUCGUGCCAGCAGCCGCGGUAAUACGAAGGGGGCUAGCGUUGCUCGGAAUUACUGGGCGUAAAGGGAGCGUAGGC